AAAUGCGAUAAGUAGUGUGAAUUGCAGAAUUCAGUGAAUCAUCGAGUCUUUGAACGCACAUUGCGCCCCUUGGUAUUCCAUGGGGCAUGCCUGUUCGAGCGUCAUUUGUACCCUCAAGCUCUGCUUGGUGUUGGGUGUUUGUCCCCGUCUCCGCGCGUGGACUCGCCCCAAAGUGAUUGGCAGCCGGCGUACUGGUCCCGGAGCGCAGCACAUGUCGCGCAAACGAGUGCCUUGGUACGGCGGCGUCCAUAAGCCCCUCUCUCACGCUCUUGACCUCGGAUCAGGUAGGGAUACCCGCUGAACUUAAGC
RNAcentral lists this unclassified non-coding RNA (309 nucleotides) under plant metagenome. RNAcentral's name for it is "partial contains 5.8S ribosomal RNA, internal transcribed spacer 2, and large subunit ribosomal RNA". The stretch from base 1 to 104 matches the Rfam family "5.8S ribosomal RNA", at positions 51 to 154 of the family's 154-position model. The record is from RNAcentral.